RNAcentral lists this ribosomal RNA (301 nucleotides) under Heterostylites major. Its description in RNAcentral is "partial 16S rRNA". The record is from RNAcentral. Lineage: Eukaryota; Metazoa; Arthropoda; Copepoda; Calanoida; Heterorhabdidae.
AAUUUGUUUUUUAAUUUAAAAAUAGUAUGAAUGGGCCCACUUUUUAUAACUUUAUUAUCCUCAAACUUAAAAAUUAAAAUAUUAAUGCAAAUUUUAAUAAAAAAUUUUUAGACGAUAAGACCCUAUGAACCUUCAUAUAAAAUAAUUAGUUUUUAUCAAAAUUUAACCAUAUUUGAUUGGGGAAAUAAAUAAUUUAGUUAUUAAAAAAUAUCUAUAUUCUGUGAGCCUCAGAGAGUUUGUGAACUAGGUACUCUAGGGAUAACAGCAUAAUAGUUAGAAAAGACCAUAUUAGGAUAACUGA